GAUGAACGCUGGCGGCGUGCUUAACACAUGCAAGUCGAACGAUUAACCCACCUUCGGGUGGUCAUAGAGUGGCGAACGGGUGAGUAACACGUGACCAACCUGCCUCAUGCAUCGGGAUAACUGCUGGAAACGGCAGCUAAUACCGGAUACUCUUGCAACUUCGCAUGGAGAUGCAAGGAAAGCUUUCGCGGCAUGAGAUGGGGUCGCGGCCCAUUAGGUAGACGGUGAGGUAGUGGCUCACCGUGCCUGCGAUGGGUAGCCGGACUGAGAGGUCGAUCGGCCACAUUGGGACUGAGAUACGGCCCAGACUCCUACGGGAGGCAGCAGUGGGGAAUAUUGCGCAAUGGGGGAAACCCUGACGCAGCAACGCCGCGUGCGGGAUGAAGGCUUUCGGGUUGUAAACCGCUUUCAGCAGGGAAGAUAAUGACGGUACCUGCAGAAGAAGCCCCGGCUAACUACGUGCCAGCAGCCGCGGUAAUACGUAGGGGGCAAGCGUUAUCCGGAUUCAUUGGGCGUAAAGCGCGCGCAGGCGGGCCGCUAAGCGGGACCUCUAAUCUUGGGGCUCAACCUCAAGCCGGGUCCCGAACUGGCAGCCUCGAGUGCGGUAGGGGUAAGCGGAAUUCCCGGUGUAGCGGUGGAAUGCGCAGAUAUCGGGAAGAACACCGAUGGCGAAGGCAGCUUACUGGGCCGACACUGACGCUGAGGCGCGAAAGCUAGGGGAGCGAACAGGAUUAGAUACCCUGGUAGUCCUAGCCGUAAACGAUGAACACUAGGUGUGGGAGAGAUAACUCUUCCGUGCCGCAGCUAACGCAUUAAGUGUUCCGCCUGGGGAGUACGGCCGCAAGGCUAAAACUCAAAGGAAUUGACGGGGGCCCGCACAAGCAGCGGAGCAUGUGGCUUAAUUCGAAGCAACGCGAAGAACCUUACCAGGGCUUGACAUGCUAGUGAAGCCGGGGAAACUCGGUGGCCGAAAGGAGCUAGCGCAGGUGGUGCAUGGCUGUCGUCAGCUCGUGUCGUGAGAUGUUGGGUUAAGUCCCGCAACGAGCGCAACCCCUGUUCUGUGUUGCCAGCAUUAAGUUGGGGACUCACAGAAGACUGCCGGCGUUAAGCCGGAGGAAGGUGGGGAUGACGUCAAGUCAUCAUGCCCCUUACGCCCUGGGCUGCACACGUGCUACAAUGGCCGGCACAAUGGGUUGCCACCCCGCGAGGGGGAGCGGAUCCCUUAAAGCCGGUCCCAGUUCGGAUUGCAGGCUGAAACCCGCCUGCAUGAAGGCGGAGUUGCUAGUAAUCGCGGAUCAGCAUGCCGCGGUGAAUGCGUUCCCGGGCCUUGUACACACCGCCCGUCACACCACCCGAGUCGUCUGCACCCGAAGCCGCCGGCCCAACCUUUUGGAGGGAGGCGUCGAAGGUGUGGAGGGUGAGGGGGGUGAAGUCGUAACAAGGUAGCCGUACCGGAAGGUGCGGCUGGAUCACCUCCUUUCUAGGGAGAUACCCUAAGUAAAGAAACCUAUUUAAAUCUCACAAUCGUGAUUUGUUAAUCUACAGCAUCCGGCCCUCAGGGUGUUUUGCACUCUGACGCGUGAGAGAUCACAUCUCUUACAGCACCUUGACAUCUGCAUAGCGCGCGGCGCUAAACCAAGAUCAGCUGCACCGAUCUGGCGCCGCGAGCAAGAGAAUCAGACAGAUUUAGAUAUGAGAUUCCACUUUAUGUGGAUGAUAUCUGGAUGUCGGAUACUAAGCUCAUCAUCAUGAGUUUUUCCUCAUUCAUCUUCAUCGCAAAGUGUGGAAGCUUCAAAUCUGUCACGAACAACGAUCGUAUUUAUAUCCUUAAACAUUUGUUUAAGGGUCAAGGUAUGCUCAACUAAUCAUUUAGUUGUAGCUUGACGUUAGUGUUAGCAGUCAAGAUAUGAAGGGCACACGGCGGAUGCCUUGGCACAGGGAGUCGAUGAAGGACGCGGCUAGCUGCGAUAAUCUGCGGUUAGGGGCACACACCCGCUUGACCCGCAGGUCUCCGAAUGGGGGAACCCAGCAGAGGUUAUGCUCUGUUACCCAUCUCUGAAUAAAAUAGGAGAUGUGGGGACGACCCGCCGAACUGAAACAUCUAAGUAGGCGGAGGAAUAUAAAUCAAAAGAGAUUGCGCUAGUAGCGGCGAGCGAACGCGCAAGAGCCCAAACCCGGGCGAGUGUCAAGCGGCAGGCUUUGCCGCCCGGGGGUUGUGGGGCCAAACAUUGGAGAGGCUGCCCCUCUCCAUGCGGUUACAAAUCCCUUGCGUAGCCGAACGAGCUGGAAAGCUCGGCCGAAGACGGUGAUAAGCCCGGUAGGCGAAACGCAUAGGGACCGUAAGUUUGGUACCCGAGUAGAUCCGCUCACGUGGAAGGCGGAUCGAAUCUGGGAGGACCACCUUCCAAGGCUAAAUACUACCCUGUGACCGAUAGUGAACC
This 2441-nucleotide ribosomal RNA is filed under the name uncultured Phoenicibacter sp. Its description in RNAcentral is "partial contains 16S ribosomal RNA, 16S-23S ribosomal RNA intergenic spacer, and 23S ribosomal RNA". The stretch from base 1 to 1480 matches the Rfam family "Bacterial small subunit ribosomal RNA". The record is from RNAcentral. Lineage: Bacteria; Bacillati; Actinomycetota; Coriobacteriia; Eggerthellales; Eggerthellaceae.